Molecule: long non-coding RNA, 1690 nt
Organism: Bos taurus (domestic cattle)
Lineage: Eukaryota; Metazoa; Chordata; Mammalia; Artiodactyla; Bovidae
Source: Ensembl
AGAUUGGCAAAAAUUAAAUCAUCUCAGGAUAUAAAGUGUCGGCAAUGAUUGAGCAACAUGGCACCCAUAUCCUCUGUGACUGGGAGUAUCAUUUGGUGUCUUCACUUUGAGUCAUGGCAGGCAACCAGCAAAGUGUAAAUACAGCUUGUUCACUGUCAACUCCUCUCCCUGGGUUUAUAUGCCCUACAGAAACCCUCCCACAUGUGCCUCAGGAGACCUGUACACAGGGUGCUUAUUACAACACUGUAUAAAAGAGUGGAAAUAACACAAGUACCCUCCAUUAAGGAAAUGGACAUGGAAAUGGAUAAAUCUCUGGUGGCUCAGGCUUCCCUGGUGGCUUAGAUGGUAAAGAAUCAGCCCACAAUGUGGGAGACCUGGGUUUGAUCCCUGGGUUGGGAAGAUCCCCUGAAGGACGGCAUGGCAAAAACAACAGAAUGAUCUCUGUUUGUUUCCAAGGCAAACCAUUCACAUCACAGAAAUCCACGUCUAUGCCCCAACCAUUAAUGCCGAAGAAGCUGAAGUUGAAAAGUUCUAUGAAAACCUACAAGACCUUCUAGAACUAACACCAAAAAAAAACAAUGUCCUUUUCAUCAUAGGGAACUGGAAUGCAAAAGUAGGAGUCAAGAGAUAUCUGGAGUAACAGGCAAGGUUGGCCUUGGGGUACCAAAUAAAGCAGGGCAAAGGCUAGCAGUUUUGCUAAGAGAACACACUGGUCAUAGUAAACACCCUCUUCCAACAACACCGGAGAUGACUCUAUACAUGGACAUCACCACAUCACCAGAUGAUCAAUAUAGAAAUCAGGUUGAUUAUAUUCUUUGCAGUCAAAGAUGGAGAAGCUGUAUACAGUCAGCGUAGAGCUGACUGUGGGAGCUGAAUGUGGCUCAGAUCAUGAACUCAUUGUUGGAAAAUUCAGACUUAAAUUGAAGAAAGUAGGGAAAACCACUAGGUCGUUCAGCAGCAGCAGUAGCAGCAGAGAUCUCUUCAAGAAAAUUAAGAGAUACCAAGGGAACAUUUCAGGCAAAGAUGGGCACGAUAAAGGACAGAAAUGGUAGGGACCUAACAGAAGCAGAAGAUAUUAAGAAGAAAUCCCAAGAAUACACAGAAGAAUUAUACAAAAAAGAUCUUCAUGACCCAGAUAACCAUGAUGGUGUGAUCACUCACCUAGAGCCAGACAUCCUGGAAUGCGAAGUCAAGUGGGCCUUAGGAACAUCAUUACAAACAAAGCUAGUGGAAGUGAUAGAAUUCCAGCUGAGCUAUUUAAAAUCCUAAAAGAUGAUGCUGUUAAUGUGCUGCACUCAAUAUGCCCUCAAUUCUGGAAAACUCAGCGGUGGCUGCAGGACUGGAAAAGGUCAGUUUUCAUACCAAUCCCAAAGAAAGGCAAUGCCAAAGCAUGUUCAAACUACCACACAGUUGCACUCAUUUCACAUGAUAGCAAAGUAAUGCUCAAAUUUCUCCAAGCCAGGCAUCAAAAGUACGUGAGCCAAAAACUUCGAGAUGUUCAAGAUGGAUUUAGAAAAGGCAGAGGAACCAGAGAUCAAAAUGCCAACAUCUGUUGGAUCAUAGAAAAAGCAAGAGAAUUCCAGAAAAACAUCUACUUCUGUUUCAUUGACUGCGCCAAAGCUUUUGACUGUGUGGAUCACAACAAACUGGAAAAUUCUUAAAGAGAUGGGAACACCAGACCACCUUACCU